Strigops habroptila (Kakapo) is the source of this 3071-nucleotide long non-coding RNA. NCBI's taxonomy places the organism in Eukaryota, Metazoa, Chordata, Aves, Psittaciformes, Psittacidae. The record is from Ensembl.
GGGGACGGGCAAGAUGGCGUCGGAGGGCGAGCUGGGCAGGAAGUGGGACCGGUGUCUGGCGGACUCCGCCGUCAAGCUGGGUGCUGGGUUUGGAUUAGGAAUUGUUUUCUCAGUCAUCUUCUUCAAAAGAAGGACAUGGCCUAUCGCUUUUGGGUCAGGGAUGGGGUUAGGAAUGGCUUAUUCCAAUUGUCAACAUGACUUCCAGUCUCCAUAUCUUCUCCAUGGUAAAUUUGUAAAAGAACAGUGACUAAUGACUAAGACUAUCCCAGUGGGAAGGAAGGAGAAAUCAAUGAUUAUUCCUCAGGAAUACUUGAAGUGCCCCUGGAAUAAGCCAACAUUCUUCAGUAAUGAUCACCAGUAACUCUUUAUACUCCAACAAACUGUUUCUGUACAUGAAGCAAAGUUCUGUUGCUUGUUUUGUAUCGUGUCUGGAACGUGCAAGGAAGAACUCUUCUGGGAAAUAAAUAAAAGAAAAAUGGCCUUCUCUGGUGUGUUGACUUUGUAUAUGAGUGAGAAUGGAAGGAGAGAACCUCGGUGUGAGUACCUAGCAGCUGUGCCCACAUGGGUAAGAGCCACUGAGAGCUCUUCAGAAGAGACAGCCGUCGUAUGUUCCUCUCCACUCUUGAAAGACAACCCCCAUCUAACAUACAGUUCAAAGCAGCAUUCCCACCUCAUAAAUCACCCACCAGACCCCUGCUGCUUGUGCUGGUGUUUGGAGAGGAAUAUAAAUACUCCUAUGUCCUGUUUGUACAGUUGCCCUUUAAAAUUGGAGUUAUGGCCAAAGAGGCAGAAUCCAAAAGGGCAAAUCCUGUGUGAUUGCAGCUAACCAGUGCUGUCUCCUGGAGCUCUGAGCCACGGAGUGACCCAGGUUUGAAGCUUCCCAGGGUAGUGGGUGAAUUAAACAGCUGCACUUUGCCAUCUGGCUUUGAGCUUACCUUCUGGCUUGAUUGCUUUUUCACCCCUCUUCUGGGGGAGAACACAGAGGUUUCAGUGUCUGGGAAUGGGUCACAGAUAUUUAAAGCUCUUUAUUACCUCUGCAAGUCACUGGUCCAAGUACUCCCCUCUACUUUACAUUUACUCUAGUCCUUGUAAUUACUUGUCAGUGUGUUGUCUGCUGCUCUUCUCCUGACUCAAGAGGUUGUCUUCACAGCUGCUUUACUCAGCACUAUUGUCUGGCUAUUGAGGUGAACCCUUUUUCUUUGUCCCAUGCUUGCUGCAUGUUGUCUGCAUAGCACAUGAUGUAAAUGCACGUCUCCUGAGAUAGGAUGGGAAUAGUAUGGAUGGAUAUAGAGCUUUCUGUCACUGAAAACCUGCUCUGCUGGAUGGUGAGUGCUGGCAGAUGGAAAAGUGACCAAAAAAAUGUCUCUCCAGCAAGGAAAACACAAUGGAAAACAAGUUGUGCAAUAUUUGUGUUUGCUUUAACCGUGCCAAAACCGGAAGGGGAUGGACCGAGGGGCAGUGUGCUGAGUUCAGAGAGCUUGAGAAGCUCCUCAUCUUCCUUCCUCAGCAAUGGGGCUGAGAUUUGGUGUGGGUGCCACAGCAGUCCUGCCCCACCACAUCCCCCUGGGGGGCUUGUAUGUGGAUCUUGUGCACUGAAGAAACACGUUGAGCUGUGCCCAGAGUCAACAGGAGCUGAAGAGCUUGCCUAGAGCAAUGGACUUGUGAAAUAAAAUAGCUUUAAUGCCAGAGCAGCAUUAAAGACUGUCAAAGCAUGAUACCAUCCAGGACCAUUGCUUGAGCAUGUCCUUGUUUUUCCACCUCCUCCCUUGCCGGACUGCAUUCAUCAGUCAGGUCAAAACAGCUUAUUGGAAACAGGAUCUCUUUGCUUUCUUCCCAAUUUGGAAUCAUUUUAUCUGGCCCCAAUUUUUAAUUUGAGCUAUGUACUUUGGAGCCAUAGCUCCUCUGUGGUUUGGAAAGUGUUUUUAUUGAGUUCUCUGUGUGUGUGUGUGCUGCGGUGCUAGCAGUCUGGGUUCAGCUGGAGAGAAGAGCAUCAACCUGGGUAAGAAACGGGAGAACCAAAAGCAAUACUGAAUGUAACCACUGCCAACGUGCAGAAAAAGCUUUAGCUGAUGCUGUGUCAUUUGGGCCACGAUGAUGAGUUCUGGGUUUUCUUAGUGUCCCUGGUAAUGCCUUGUCCUGCCCUGCUAUGAGCUGCUUAAGUUCUAAUCCAACAUUUAGUUCUGGGGCUCCCAACACCAGAGGGACGUGGAGCUGCUGGAGCGAGGCCAGAGGAGGCCCCGGAGCUGCUGCGAGGGCUGGAGCAGCUCUGCUCUGGAGCCAGGCUGAGAGAGCUGGGCUGGGGCAGCCUGGAGAAGAGAAGGCUCCUGAAGGGGAGACCUUAGAGCAGCUCCAGGGCCUAAAGGGGCUCCAGGAAACCUGGAGAGGGGCUUUGGACAAGGGCCUGUAGGGACAGGCCAAGGGGAAUGGCUUUAACCUGCCAGAGGGGAGAUUGAGAUGAGCUCUGAGGCAGAAGCUCUUCCCUGUGAGGGUGCUGGGGCGCUGGCACAGGGUGCCCAGAGAAGCUGUGGCUGCCCCAUCCCUGGCAGUGUUCAAGGCCAGGUUGGACACAGGGGCUUGGAGCAACCUGCUCUAGUGGAAGGUGUCCCUGCCCGUGGCAGGGGUUGGAGCUGGAUGAGCUUUAAGGUCCCUUCAACACAAACCAGGCUGGGGUUCUAUGAAAUACGACUUUCUGUCGUUAAUUCUUACUUUGUCUGAUCUUCUGUGGCCUGUGAUCAAGUGGUUCUGGCUCUGGAACUCAGAGGGUUCCACUGUAGAUACCGUUUCACAAUGUGUCUUUUGUUGCUGGAGAAUGAUCAGAACAAGUGUUUUUGCUCAUUAAUAGGAACUCCACUGGGGUGAGUGUGGAAGAGGUGUGCAAUUAAAAGAGUGGAAUUUAAGAUUGCUCUUUAAAUGCAUUUAAAGUGCUCUUCAAAUGGGGUAAGAACGUGUAUUUUUUUGCUUUUCACAGCUGCCUUGCUUGUUGUUUGUGUUACUACAUGUAUAUGCACGUGUAUAACUGACACAUAACGGGCCUGUAUUUGUUUCCGGCUUAAUUAAAGUUGUAUUCUUUA